RNAcentral lists this ribosomal RNA (514 nucleotides) under Apiotrichum loubieri. Its description in RNAcentral is "eukaryotic LSU rRNA". It matches the Rfam family "Eukaryotic large subunit ribosomal RNA", at positions 114 to 619 of the family's 3401-position model. Lineage: Eukaryota; Fungi; Basidiomycota; Tremellomycetes; Trichosporonales; Trichosporonaceae. The record is from RNAcentral.
UUUGAAAUCUGGCUGUCUUCGAUAGUCCGAGUUGUAAUCUAUAGAAGCGUUUUCCGUGCUGAACUGUGUCUAAGUCCCUUGGAACAGGGUAUCAAAGAGGGUGACAAUCCCGUACUUGACACAAUCAUCAGUGCUCUGUGAUACGCUCUCUACGAGUCGAGUUGUUUGGGAAUGCAGCUCAAAAUGGGUGGUAAAUUCCAUCUAAAGCUAAAUAUUGGCGAGAGACCGAUAGCGAACAAGUACCGUGAGGGAAAGAUGAAAAGCACUUUGGAAAGAGAGUUAAACAGUACGUGAAAUUGUUGAAAGGGAAACGAUUGAAGUCAGUCGUGUUCAUUGGAUUCAGCCGGUCUUCGGUGUACUUCCUUUGAACGGGUCAACAUCAGUUUUGCCCGGUGGAUAAAGGCAGUAGGAAUGUGGCCUCUCCGGAGGUGUUAUAGCCUAUUGUCACAUACACUGGGGGAGACUGAGGACUGCAGCUCGCCUUUUGGCCGGGGUUCGCCCACGUUCGAGCUUA